Molecule: ribosomal RNA, 422 nt
Filed under: uncultured bacterium
Lineage: Bacteria
Description: bacterial SSU rRNA
Rfam family: Bacterial small subunit ribosomal RNA
Source: RNAcentral
GGAAUUGUUCGCAAUGGGCGCAAGCCUGACGACGCAACGCCGCGUGGAGGAUGAAGAUUUUCGGAUCGUAAACUCCUUUCGAGCGGGACGAAUGGCCAGUGGUCUAAUACGCCACUGGAUUGCCGGUACCGCGAGAAGAAGCCCAGGCUCACUCCGUGCCCGCAGCCGCGGUAAUACGGGGGGGGCAAGCGUUGUUCGGAAUUACUGGGCGUAAAGGGCGCGUAGGCGGCCUGCUAAGUCACACGUGAAAUCCCUCGGCUCAACCGGGGAACUGCGUGUGAUACUGGCGGGCUUGAAUUCGGGAGAGGGAUGUGGAAUUCCAGGCGUAGCGGUGAAAUGCGUAGAUAUCUGGAGGAACACCGGUGGCGAAGGCGGCAUCCUGGACCGAGAUUGACGCUGAGGCGCGAAAGCUAGGGUAGCAA